This 570-nucleotide ribosomal RNA is filed under the name uncultured bacterium. RNAcentral describes it as "bacterial SSU rRNA". It matches the Rfam family "Bacterial small subunit ribosomal RNA", at positions 74 to 644 of the family's 1533-position model. The record is from RNAcentral.
CCUAGCUUGCUAGAAGAUGACGAGUGGCGGACGGGUGAGUAAUGCUUGGGAACUUGCCUUUGCGAGGGGGAUAACAGUUGGAAACGACUGCUAAUACCGCAUAACGUCUUCGGACCAAACGGGGCUUAGGCUCCGGCGCAAAGAGAGGCCCAAGUGAGAUUAGCUAGUUGGUGGGGUAAAGGCUCACCAAGGCAACGAUCUCUAGCUGUUCUGAGAGGAAGAUCAGCCACACUGGAACUGAGACACGGUCCAGACUCCUACGGGAGGCAGCAGUGGGGAAUAUUGCACAAUGGGGGAAACCCUGAUGCAGCCAUGCCGCGUGUGUGAAGAAGGCCUUCGGGUUGUAAAGCACUUUCAGUUGUGAGGAAAAGUUAGUAGUUAAUACCUGCUAGCCAUGACGUUAGCAACAGAAGAAGCACCGGCUAACUCCGUGCCAGCAGCCGCGGUAAUACGGAGGGUGCGAGCGUUAAUCGGAAUUACUGGGCGUAAAGCGCACGCAGGCGGUUUGUUAAGCUAGAUGUGAAAGCCCCGGGCUCAACCUGGGACGGUCAUUUAGAACUGGCAGACUAU